RNAcentral lists this long non-coding RNA (618 nucleotides) under Ananas comosus (pineapple). RNAcentral describes it as "long non-coding RNA (ACOM_LNC009352)". Lineage: Eukaryota; Viridiplantae; Streptophyta; Magnoliopsida; Poales; Bromeliaceae. The record is from RNAcentral.
AACCAAGUCACUGAUAUGAAAUACAAGAAUCAACCAACCAGGUCAACAGAUACGCACGUAGAUAGAACCACUCUACUCCUACUCAGGAUACUAAGCAUGCAAACAACGAGUAGAGUAUAAUGGAAUAACAUGGGCGCAAGUCUCAAUAUAUACUAUGCAAUAAUAACAACAGAAGAGUAAGGGUAAGAAACCAUCACCAAGUAUACACCACUGUACCACGUCGGAUCGAAGUACCCACCUGUAAGGAUGUCGCGUCUGUCUCCUGACUGCAAAAGAAUAUCGAUAGGACCUAUAGAGGGUCCACCGGGUUAGUAUCUAAUCCACAACUAAUAACCACAGUAUCCACAACCCCACAACAAUUUCACGAAGAUCGGUUUUCCAAUACCGAUUACCGAACACGUCGGAAGAAUUCCGAACCGAACCCUCAUUCCGUCGGCAGUUUUCGCCGAACGACGCUCCGAAAAUCACGAUUUGAUUUCCGCAAGAGCUUGGGGCCUUGGACGAUUAGUCCAGAGGUUGUCCUCAGCCCUAACCUGCUGCCAACAACAGCUACGUCAAAGCGAACGGCAUACAAGUCCCUAACGACACAUGAAAUCACAUCAUUUUAUGUGAUUUCAU